CUGGCAGCCCAGGCACAGCUGCCUGCACCCACUGCCACAGGCACUAUGGCGGGGACGCGGGUGGCUUCCGAGCCUCGGGGCAGCAGCCUGUGGAGGAGGAACUGAGCAAGAGUCAGGACAGGACGGCAGCAGCUGGAACAUGCCAACAGGGACCAGAAUGGGACAGGCCUGGGGCGCAGGAGGCCUGGCUGCCACCGUGCACACGGACAGAGGAGGGGCUCACCGACAACGAUGUGCAGCGCCGAGGUUUCUGCGUCGCUGGCGCCCACGGUGGAGUAACACACGCAGUCCGUUGACCCUGUAAAGGGGAAAAGAAGGCCCUGAAUAUCAUCAGAAUGACUGAAUUGUAAUCGCCUCCCAAUUCACUGAGUGGUACCUCAUUCCUUUCCUUCCAUGGCCCUAGAGUCAACACUAAGGAAUAAAUAGAAUUUACCUACAAAAUGAA
Symphalangus syndactylus (siamang) is the source of this 445-nucleotide long non-coding RNA. RefSeq lists it as uncharacterized. Lineage: Eukaryota; Metazoa; Chordata; Mammalia; Primates; Hylobatidae. The record is from RefSeq and is a predicted model, not a curated record.